GCAGUUCUUGUUUCUAUGGUUGAGGUAGAUCUUAAUCUUCUAUAAGUGGCACUGGAAUUGUUAUCUUGUUCACCAUUACCAUUGCAUCCUUUAAAUUCAUGAUGCAAGCAACUACUUUUAGUUGCUUUGUUAUGUUGCUUUUGAUCUCAAGUGUGUCAGCAUGUUUUAUAGGAUUGUAUGAGAGGCUUUCUUGAUGUAGUAAUAACUAUAUUUGACAAAAUCCCUGGUCAAUUUUACAUUUUGAUGCUGCAGUCAACUGGUGCAUACA
This 268-nucleotide unclassified non-coding RNA is filed under the name Hevea brasiliensis (rubber tree). The record is from RNAcentral. Lineage: Eukaryota; Viridiplantae; Streptophyta; Magnoliopsida; Malpighiales; Euphorbiaceae.